UACAGAGGUCUCAAGCGUUGUUCGGAUUCAUUGGGCGUAAAGGGUGCGUAGGCGGUGCGGUAAGUCGGGUGUGAAAUCUCGGGGCUUAACUCCGAAACUGCAUUCGAUACUACCGUGCUUGAGGACUGGAGAGGAGACUGGAAUUUACGGUGUAGCGGUGAAAUGCGUAGAUAUCGUAAGGAAGACCAGUGGCGAAGGCGGGUCUCUGGACAGUUACUGACGCUGAGGCACGAAGGCCAGGGGAGCAAACGGG
This 253-nucleotide ribosomal RNA is filed under the name uncultured bacterium. Its description in RNAcentral is "partial 16S ribosomal RNA". It matches the Rfam family "Bacterial small subunit ribosomal RNA", at positions 524 to 776 of the family's 1533-position model. The record is from RNAcentral.